RNAcentral lists this ribosomal RNA (402 nucleotides) under Haemaphysalis hystricis. RNAcentral's name for it is "partial large subunit ribosomal RNA". The record is from RNAcentral. Lineage: Eukaryota; Metazoa; Arthropoda; Arachnida; Ixodida; Ixodidae.
UAUUUUGACUAUACAAAGGUAUUGUAAUAAGACUUUAAUUGGGUGCUAAGAGAAUGGAUUUUCAAAAAAAUUCUUUUUUAAAUUUAAAAAUUAAAGUUAUUUUUAUUUGUGAAGAAACAAUAAUACGAAUUAAAGACAAGAAGACCCUAUGAAUUUUGAUUGAUUUAAUAUUAAAGUUAAUAUUUAAUUCAAUUUGAUUGGGGCGAUUAAAAAAUAUUAAAAACUUUUUAUUUUCAAAAAGACCCAUUAAUAAUGAUUAUAUGAAAUAAAUACUCUAGGGAUAACAGCGUAAUAAUUUUAGAUAGCUCUUAUAGAAAAAAUAGUUUGCGACCUCGAUGUUGGAUUAGGAUACUUAUUUAAUGAAGAAGUUAAAAUAAGAAGUUUGUUCAACUUUUAAAAUCC